Molecule: ribosomal RNA, 725 nt
Filed under: Pseudomonas sp. Y4_334
Lineage: Bacteria; Pseudomonadati; Pseudomonadota; Gammaproteobacteria; Pseudomonadales; Pseudomonadaceae
Description: bacterial SSU rRNA
Rfam family: Bacterial small subunit ribosomal RNA
Source: RNAcentral
CAUGCAAGUCGAGCGGUAGAGAGAAGCUUGCUUCUCUUGAGAGCGGCGGACGGGUGAGUAAUGCCUAGGAAUCUGCCUGGUAGUGGGGGAUAACGUUCGGAAACGGACGCUAAUACCGCAUACGUCCUACGGGAGAAAGCAGGGGACCUUCGGGCCUUGCGCUAUCAGAUGAGCCUAGGUCGGAUUAGCUAGUUGGUGGGGUAAUGGCUCACCAAGGCGACGAUCCGUAACUGGUCUGAGAGGAUGAUCAGUCACACUGGAACUGAGACACGGUCCAGACUCCUACGGGAGGCAGCAGUGGGGAAUAUUGGACAAUGGGCGAAAGCCUGAUCCAGCCAUGCCGCGUGUGUGAAGAAGGUCUUCGGAUUGUAAAGCACUUUAAGUUGGGAGGAAGGGUUGUAGAUUAAUACUCUGCAAUUUUGACGUUACCGACAGAAUAAGCACCGGCUAACUCUGUGCCAGCAGCCGCGGUAAUACAGAGGGUGCAAGCGUUAAUCGGAAUUACUGGGCGUAAAGCGCGCGUAGGUGGUUUGUUAAGUUGGAUGUGAAAUCCCCGGGCUCAACCUGGGAACUGCAUUCAAAACUGACUGACUAGAGUAUGGUAGAGGGUGGUGGAAUUUCCUGUGUAGCGGUGAAAUGCGUAGAUAUAGGAAGGAACACCAGUGGCGAAGGCGACCACCUGGACUAAUACUGACACUGAGGUGCGAAAGCGUGGGGAGCAAACA